Molecule: ribosomal RNA, 944 nt
Filed under: uncultured archaeon
Lineage: Archaea
Description: bacterial SSU rRNA
Rfam family: Archaeal small subunit ribosomal RNA
Source: RNAcentral
UCCGGUUGAUCCUGCCGGACCCCACUGCUAUCGGGGUGGGACUAAGACAUGCUAGUCGUGCGCCUCCAAGCCACGGUGGAGGCGCGGCGCACAGCUCAGUAACACGUGGCUAACCUACCCUUGGGACAGGGACAACCCCGGGAAACUGGGGCUAAUCCCCGAUAGGUGAGGACUCCUGGAAUGGGUCCUCGCUGAAAGGGCGUCUAGACCAUGCUUCUAGACGCUGCCCAAGGAUGGGGCCGCGGCCGAUCAGGUUGUUGGUGAGGUAACGGCUCACCAAGCCUAAGACCGGUACGGGCCGUGAGAGCGGGAGCCCGGAGAUGGACACUGAGACAAGGGUCCAGGCCCUACGGGGCGCAGCAGUCGCGAAACCUCCGCAAUACGCGAAAGCGUGACGGGGCCACCCCGAGUGCCGUCCGCUGAGGACGGCUUUUCCCCAGUGUAGACAGCUGGGGGAAUAAGGGGAGGGCAAGUCGGGUGUCAGCCGCCGCGGUAAUACUCGCUCCCCGAGUGGUGGGGACGCUUAUUGGGCCUAAAGCAUCCGUAGCCGGCUGGACAAGUCCCCUGUUAAAUCCAGCGAUUUAAUCGCUGGACUGCGGGGGAUACUGUCCAGCUAGGGGGCGGGAGAGGCCGGCGGUAUUCCCGGGGUAGGGGUGAAAUCUUAUAAUCCCGGGAGGACCACCAGUGGCGAAGGCUGCCGGCUGGAACGCGCCCGACGGUGAGGGAUGAGAGCUGGGGGAGCGAACCGGAUUAGAUACCCGGGUAGUCCCAGCUGUAAACGAUGCGGGCUAGGUGUUGGCACGGCUACAAGCCGUGUCAGUGCCGCAGGGAAGCCGUUAAGCCCGCCGCCUGGGGAGUACGGCCGCAAGGCUGAAACUUAAAGGAAUUGGCGGGGGAGCACCACAAGGGGUGAAGCUUGCGGUUUAAUUGGAGUCAACGCCGGG